RNAcentral lists this unclassified non-coding RNA (1148 nucleotides) under Hevea brasiliensis (rubber tree). The record is from RNAcentral. Lineage: Eukaryota; Viridiplantae; Streptophyta; Magnoliopsida; Malpighiales; Euphorbiaceae.
GGAUUCUGCAAUGCUGCACAUGCAGAAACUUCAGCAGCAACAGAAACAUUAUAAGGUUGCUUAGCUCUCCAAAGGUACUCAAUGAUGCUCAAAGGAAAUGCUCCGUAUCCAACUCGGAGUCCAGCUAAACCGGCUCUCUUGCUAAAUGUCCGUAGAACAAUCAAAUUGUCAUGCUUCUUCACCCAUUUCAUCCGAGAUUCCAGUCCUGAAAACUCUAUGUAUGCUUCAUCCAACACCACCAAGAUUGGGAGCUCAAGGAUUUUCAAUAGAUCCUCAUCACUGAUUAUACUCCCAUCAGGGUUAUUUGGUGAAGUUAAGAAAAUGCAUUUGGGGUUCUCUUGUUGAACGGCAUCAAUAAUAAGCUCAACAUUCAAGCUAAAGUCUGGCUUUCUCAGAACCUUAAUAACUUCUGCCCCAUUAACUGCAGCAUCAAAUUGAUACAUUGUAAAGGUUGGAGGACAGUCCACAAUUUUAUCACCAGGAUCCAGCGUACAUCGCAUUAUUAGAUCAAUAAGCUCAUCAGCACCACAUCCCACAAGAAUGUAAUCAGAUUCAAGGCCAGAAUCUUUGGCAAGAGCCUCACGCAACUGACGACUUUGAGGAUCAGGGUAUAUGUAAGGGAAUUUCAAAGACCCCAAAGCUUCAAAUACCUCUGGAGGUGGUCCAUAAGGGUUUUCAUUUGCAUCUAAUUUAACAAUAUCCUCAGGCUUCCUUCCAAGAUUAGCUGACAAAACCUCAAAAGGCAAAAUAGGCUGAUAAGGGGACAGUGUUCUCAAAUGGGAACGGAUAAAUGAGUCGCCGGUCAACCUCUGUUGACCCUCAUUGACAUGUUCUACAGGUAGAGUGGAGGCCAUGGCAAUGCCAAUGACCCUUCUUUGAUUAUUAACUUCUAAAGAGCAAGUGGGUCUCGGAGGCUCCAAAAAUUGGUGAAGAUUGUUGUUGGAUUUAAUCAAACACAGAGAGGCAGUGCUGUUGAUAUCAAUCACACCCAUGAAUGUCUGGGGGUGAGAAGAAAAGAUGGAAUCUUUUGACGAGUAAGAAAUGUGUACUAAUGGAGAAGGAGCCAAUAAGGGAAACCAUGAACUAAACCCUAGAGAUUAUUAUACUGAAAGAAAAGGCUGCGCCGAGCUCGAGCUACAAAUAUGAGU